GACUCUGUAGCUCAGUUGGAGAGCAUGCCGCUUGCAACGCAGGGUUGUGGGUUCGAUUCCCACGGGGGACC
Molecule: transfer RNA, 71 nt
Filed under: Salmo salar (Atlantic salmon)
Lineage: Eukaryota; Metazoa; Chordata; Actinopteri; Salmoniformes; Salmonidae
Rfam family: tRNA
About the family: Transfer RNA (tRNA) molecules are approximately 80 nucleotides in length.
Source: Rfam by way of RNAcentral